GCUUCCCUGGCUCAGUUGGUUAGAGCGCCAGUCUCAUAUAGCGUGAGGAAUCUUGGAUUCUGUAAUCUGGAGGUCAUGAGUUCGACCCUCAUGGGGAGCA
Molecule: non-coding RNA, 100 nt
Organism: Mycena alexandri
Lineage: Eukaryota; Fungi; Basidiomycota; Agaricomycetes; Agaricales; Mycenaceae
Source: the annotation of a GenBank genome assembly